Molecule: ribosomal RNA, 482 nt
Filed under: uncultured bacterium
Lineage: Bacteria
Description: partial 16S ribosomal RNA
Rfam family: Bacterial small subunit ribosomal RNA
Source: RNAcentral
AUUGAACGCUGGCGGCAUGCUUUACACAUGCAAGUCGAACGGUAACAGGCCGCAAGGUGCUGACGAGUGGCGAACGGGUGAGUAAUGCAUCGGAACGUGCCCAGUCGUGGGGGAUAACUACUCGAAAGAGUAGCUAAUACCGCAUACGAUCUAUGGAUGACAGCGGGGGACCGUAAGGCCUCGCGCGAUUGGAGCGGCCGAUGUCAGAUUAGGUAGUUGGUGGGGUAAAGGCUCACCAAGCCAACGAUCUGUAGCUGGUCUGAGAGGACAACCAGCCACACUGGGACUGAGACACGGCCCAGACUCCUACGGGAAGCAGCAGUGGGGAAUUUUGGACAAUGGGCGCAAGCCUGAUCCAGCAAUGCCGCGUGCAGGAAGAAGGCCUUCGGGUUGUAAACUGCUUUUGUACGGAACGAAACGGCUCUGGUUAAUACCCGGGGCUAAUGACGGUACCGUAAGAAUAAGCACCGGCUAACUACGUG